AGGACCAUAGCAAACUUGUUUAACUCUUGCUCUGAAAUCCAUGUUCUGUGUAUCUGUGUAACAAGGGAGAAGAGUGGGAAUGGGAAGUGACACAAGAAGAAGGGACACUGUUUGGAUGACUGAAUUUGGUCCAGCAGAAGGCAGGAAACAUAAAGGCAAUGGAGGAUGGCAGGGCAAAUGCACCUUACAGCUGGAUUGAUUUAGAGUUGUUGAGAAAUCAUCACUCUAGAAGUUAUUUCUCUAAGUGUUUCUAAACAUCAGUCUUGGUCUCAGGCCAUGUAAAUCUCAUUAUCUGCCCAGAACAGAUGAUUAUCUCUGAAAAUAUGUUCUGCCAUCCACAGGUUAUAAUUGCAGUUAGAAGCUACUUUCAGAUCUUUUUAGCACAAAAAGAUAUAAUUAAAUGUUAGUUCUGUAUAGAAGCCUUGUAUACAAGAAAAUCAUGCUCCUCAUAAUCAUUCUAUUUCAUUUUCAGAUUGUAAUGGGUUGUUCAGCAGGGCUGUCCACAUAAAAAAUCAUCUUUUAUUAUCACAGAGUAAAGCCUGUGACUGUCUUCUGUGAUCAAAAGGAGAGGGUUAGCCAUCUGUGAGCAGGUUCAAAGCUCUCAGAUAUGGGAAAUAAGGGAGUUGCUGCGUUUCAGAAUCUUCACCUAAACCACUACUGGCAAUGGCACUGGAUUCCCCAGUGAUAAUGAAGCCACAUUCCCAAAUACAAAAGUAUUAUUAAACUAAUAUUUCCUCUCCUGGUGCAGGAAACAGGAGCCCAGUUGAGUUGAAACCUUGUUAAUGAGAAACUAUCUGCCAAAAUUACAUGUCCCAUUAAGGCUCAGCAUUUUAUACACUUGCAUUAUUGUGCCUUCUUCCCUGAGUUUGAGCCCAGUUUCCUGAAGUAAAAGCAACUUCAUAAAAACUGGGAAGGCAUGAUGUGAGGAACAGUAGCUGAGGGCUUUGAGUACACAAAUACCAUUGCUGCAUCUAGUUUUAGUGGUGUGGAUUGUGGGAAAGGGCAGCUCUUCUAAAAGGAUUUAUAAGUUUAUGUGAUGAGGGGAAAGUGCAACUGAGCUACAGAAUGGUGUGCAUUUUCUCUCUGAUAGCCUCAUCCUCUGAUAUCCAGAUUAUGCUCCACUGUCCUUGGCCAUGCUCUGUGCCUUAAUUUGCUAAGAAUGUUGUUACACUAUUAUAUUUACUUAGUUAACCCAAAUAAAGCCAAACUCCCAAGAAUCUGCUGGGUUUGG
Molecule: long non-coding RNA, 1231 nt
Filed under: Parus major (Great Tit)
Lineage: Eukaryota; Metazoa; Chordata; Aves; Passeriformes; Paridae
Description: lncRNA (ENSPMJG00000000686.1)
Source: RNAcentral